Long non-coding RNA from Alosa alosa (allis shad), 624 nucleotides. RefSeq lists it as uncharacterized. NCBI's taxonomy places the organism in Eukaryota, Metazoa, Chordata, Actinopteri, Clupeiformes, Clupeidae. The transcript has 2 exons. The record is from RefSeq and is a predicted model, not a curated record.
UGAAUGCUGUUGAGGUAUUUGGAUAUGGACCAGCUGGCUUUGACUAUCUGACUAUCCAAUGACAGAGCGAACAUGCUCUAUGUCAUUGGAAUGAAUGGUAAAUGUCAAGUGUUAGAACCUACAGCUGGGAGAACUCACGAUUUGCUGAAUACAGGGCUGCUGUGGAGGAUGUUUUACCAUACAUGGGGGGUUACAGAUAUCAAAGACACACAACGGUAAGUUUCAUGAAGGUGGGAGAAGAGAUUUCACAGAGGGGUGGGCGAGUAGUAGAUGAGUGUCUCGUUUGAUUGUUGAGCUGUGAGAACUGAAUUCCAUAGAUGCUGUGUUACACAAAACUCAUCUAUGGGCUCAGUUCUUCUGGCUCCAUAAUCAUGAACUUCAUAGCAGGAAAUGACCCAUGCCAACAGUUAUAACUAAAUAUUUAACUUAUGCAACAUUGAAUAAAUAGGCCUGCAGAAAUAUUCUACAUAUUUUCAGUGAAUGUAAACGACUGUAUUUGAAAUCACUGCCAAGUUUUUAUUCUUUCUAAAAUGUCGGUUGUCACAAUUGAACAUACAAGGGAUUUAUGCACAUUGUUUAAUUUUAUGUGAGGUUCAAUAAAAAUCUAUGCACUUGAAACCUGUU